Molecule: transfer RNA, 85 nt
Filed under: Felis catus (domestic cat)
Lineage: Eukaryota; Metazoa; Chordata; Mammalia; Carnivora; Felidae
Rfam family: tRNA
About the family: Transfer RNA (tRNA) molecules are approximately 80 nucleotides in length.
Source: Rfam by way of RNAcentral
GCCUGGGUGGCUCAGUCGGUUGAGCAUCUGACUUCGGCCCAGGUCAUGAUCUCAUGGUCCGUGGGUUCGAGCCCCGCAUCAGGCU